UAACAGAAAAAUCUUCAUUCCCUGUAGGCAUUUAAUUAAACCUAGUUGAGAAGUGUGUGGGAUUCCUCAAUUAUGAACAAAACGCGUAUAUUGGCUUUCUUUAAAAAAAAAAAAAGAAGAAAAAAGAAAAGGCAAAGUCCUUCGAAACUCAGAGUCCCAUUCAUUUAUCAUUAACUCCUAUCAUUCUACAUAGUUCUGAUUCCAAUAUGCCAGGGUACCAGUGGCAUGACAUUGUUUUUCCUCAUAGAAAUUUGCCAUAGUCUCUCCUCCAUUAUUUGGUUGGUUACAGCCUCAUAAAGGAAGACAGGAGUUGCUUCUUUCUGCAAGAAAGAAGGUUAAAAACUGUAAAUAUUUCCCCCAAAUGGCCAGGGUAUUAUUUUAUUGCAUCACAUCAUUUGCAUCUUAAGAUCUAGAAUCUUUGCUGCUCUCUUCCAGGCCCUUGGUGAUUAACAGAAAGGAAAUGACCUUGUACAUUUGCUCAUAGGGUAUUUCUGGCCCUCCUGGUCCCCCUGGUCCUGCUGGGAAAGAAGGGCUUCGUGGUCCUCGUGGUGACCAAGGUCCAGUUGGCCGAACUGGAGAAGUAGGUGCAGUUGGUCCCCCUGGCUUCGCUGGUGAGAAGGGUCCCUCUGGAGAGGCUGGUACUGCUGUAAGUGAUUUCCAACUCCUCUUUCUUAAUACCUUAUGCUGAAUUAAAAUAAAGCCCCUACACAAAUCUUCAAGUGGCAUCUAUUUGUUGAUGAGUAUUGCAGGCUCUCAAGUAGAGCUCAGUUGAGCCAGGAAAUCUGUCCAGCACACACUGAGGGGCUGUGGCUUCCAAGAUGCUCAGAAAGCACAAAAUCGGGAAGACAAUAAAUGAGGGAACUCAGUUUUAUCACACAGCCCUUUAAGCUAUUGAAGGCACCUUACUGGUACCAGGAUUAGAACAGAGUCUCAUUGCUGUGGCCAUCCUACUACAUAUUAAUCAAUCUCAGUAGGCUACCAAUUUCUUAAACAUACACUGUCCAAUAUUAGUGCUACUCUGAAAGAUGCCCCUAUUAGACCUUAGAGGCCAAAGUCAAAAUUUGCUUCCUUUUGAUAUACUGAUUUUACUGAUUUCCUUUUUGUUUUUGUUUUUGUUUUUUUGUUUUGGGAUGGAGUUCCCCUCUGUUGCCCAGGCUGGAGUGCAGUGGCACGAUCUCAGCUCACUGCAACUUCCGCCUCCCCAAUUCAAGUAAUUCUCUUGUCUCAGCCUCCCAAGUAGCUGGGACUACAGGCACACACCAUCAUGCCUAGCUAAUUUUUGUAUUUUUAGUAAAGACGGGGUUUCACCAUAUUGGUCAGGCUGGUCUCGAUCUCCUGACCUCAGGUGAUCCACCCACCUUGACCUCCUAAAGUGCUGGGAUUACACAUGUGAGCCACCCCACCCAGCCUGAUUUCCUUUCCUUUGUGUAUAUACCCAGCAGUGUGAUUGCUGGAUCUUAUGGUAGUUCUAUUUUUAGUUUUUUGAGGAACCCCUCCUACUAUGUACAACUAUUAUGUAUCCAUAACAAUUUAAAUUUUUUUAUUUGUUUCCCUGCCUAGAGGCUAUAAAAACUCUAUUUCACCACCCCAAGUGUCUUUAUAAAUCUCAACCACAUAUUUUUAAAUGUUGUGCCAUUGGUCUCAAGGAUGAAUCAGAUACAAAAGUAUUCAUGCCAAGAUGUAAACUCACCAUCAUCACUAGAGAAAAGAUAUCCAAGGAUAUGUCCUAGUAAUAGGAGGUCAUUAGCCUUUUUCUAAGCUGAAGACAGUUUAUUCUCACAAUCUUCAAGCCAACCUGUGUUAUCACCUAGGGUCUUACCCAUAAUACUCAGUAUUUUUUCUCUAUUUAGGGACCUCCUGGCACUCCAGGUCCUCAGGGUCUUCUUGGUGCCCCUGGUAUUCUGGGUCUCCCUGGCUCGAGAGGUGAACGUGGUCUACCAGGUGUUGCUGGUGCUGUGGUGAGUGCUUGACAGUAUUCUGACUCCAUUAACAUAAGAAAAGAUUUUAAAAGCUGCCACUUCAAAUGUGACAGAUUGAUCACUGAAUAACUUCACUUAAGAUUUUUAUUCAUGGCAUUUUCUUUAUACAGAUCACAUGUCACUUAUCUAAGAAGCUUUAAUACCACCUUACUUAGACACACACUAUAAAGACACAGCUUAAAAUUAUGCAGAAUGAUUUUUGUUCUUUCCACGCACUUAGGAAUGAUACAAUCUCUAAUUGCAUUUACUCCUCUGCAAUAUGAAAUGCUGGCAUCAUUUAUCCUGUAGGAAGAAUGAAACUCUGGAAGUUCUGAAUCAUUCCAUUAAACCUUAUACGUGACAACAACUAGAAACCAUCUCAUCUCCAUAAACUAUAUCAACUUUUUGAAUUCAUUUCAUUUGGGAUACUGAAUGACACGAGGCUCACUUUUUACAGAGCAACAUCCCGUGAUUACAUAAAGCUGGCCAUCUACAUGUGGAGAAGGAGGGCAGGGAUGAUACUAAUGAUACUUCUUACCAUUGUGUGACCCAUUCACAUUCAAUUUACCUUCUUCCUUCAAACUAGAAUCUCCUGAGUAGGGUUGUUUUGGAGGGGAAGGUUAGCAUUCCAUCGAAUAAGGGGAAUGUCAUUUUAUCUUCUCUGCCUGUUUAGGGUGAACCUGGUCCUCUUGGCAUUGCCGGCCCUCCUGGGGCCCGUGGUCCUCCUGGUGCUGUGGGUAGUCCUGGAGUCAACGGUGCUCCUGGUGAAGCUGGUCGUGAUGGCAACCCUGGGAACGAUGGUCCCCCGGGUCGCGAUGGUCAACCCGGACACAAGGGAGAGCGCGGUUACCCUGGCAAUAUUGGUCCCGUUGGUGCUGCAGGUGCACCUGGUCCUCAUGGCCCCGUGGGUCCUGCUGGCAAACAUGGAAACCGUGGUGAAACUGGUCCUUCUGGUCCUGUUGGUCCUGCUGGUGCUGUUGGCCCAAGAGGUCCUAGUGGCCCACAAGGCAUUCGUGGUGAUAAGGGAGAGCCCGGUGAAAAGGGGCCCAGAGGUCUUCCUGGCUUAAAGGGACACAAUGGAUUGCAAGGUCUGCCUGGUAUCGCUGUAAGUAAACUGUAGCCAUCUCGCACAUAAACUGAUCCUGAAGGCCUUCAGCUCAGAAGGAUUUUCAUAUUUUCACUGCUAUUGUUCCAGUAUAGCCUAUAUAAUAUCCAUUUCCCAUUCUCUGGCUAACUCCAUCUCACUCUUGGAGGUAAUGCUAUUUCAUACCAACAUGAAAGGUGAGGAUUAAGGGAGAUAGAAAUAUACAUACAUUAUAAUCUCCUGGUAACAAUGUCCUUCAACCCCACUUAAAAUAAACAUAAUUAGAGGAAUGACUAAUAUUGCACUGCUGAAAUAGGUUGUGAAAAAAAAUUGAAUAUAAUAGACAUAAUGGGAGAAAAGAGCCCCACUUUACAUUUUCAAUUUUCUCAAUCCGGAGUCCAUUUAAACUAAAGUUUCCCAUUCAAUUUGGAAAAAAAAAAUAUGUCUCUUGACAUGUGCUCUAAAAGUGUGAUUUUCCUCUUCUGUCUUUAAAGGGUCACCAUGGUGAUCAAGGUGCUCCUGGCUCCGUGGGUCCUGCUGGUCCUAGGGGCCCUGCUGGUCCUUCUGGCCCUGCUGGAAAAGAUGGUCGCACUGGACAUCCUGGUACAGUUGGACCUGCUGGCAUUCGAGGCCCUCAGGGUCACCAAGGCCCUGCUGUAAGUAUGAUUUGGGGAAAUAAUAAAGAAGAUCACGGACCUAAGGAAUGUUUUCUUCAGACUAAACCAAGACAACUUUGACAACCCAUUAAAGUUAGCCCCAUUUCAAUAUAUCCUCUAAAAUAUCUGGAAAUUGUCUAUAUGCAAUGGGCUUGUUAAGUCCAUCCCUGCAAGUGUGCCUGGGGGCUCGUUAUUUAUUUAUGUGAACUUGAUUAUUUUUUACUGAUUAGAACAUGCUUCCAUGUGAAGCUCAACUGAAAAUCUGCUGCCAUGGAUGUCUCUCACUGUAACAAAAUAUAAAGCCUCUCCUAUCUCACUUUCACCUUUGCAGGGCCCCCCUGGUCCCCCUGGCCCUCCUGGACCUCCAGGCGUAAGCGGUGGUGGUUAUGACUUUGGUUACGAUGGAGACUUCUACAGGGCUGACCAGCCUCGCUCAGCACCUUCUCUCAGACCCAAGGACUAUGAAGUUGAUGCUACUCUGAAGUCUCUCAACAACCAGAUUGAGACCCUUCUUACUCCUGAAGGCUCUAGAAAGAACCCAGCUCGCACAUGCCGUGACUUGAGACUCAGCCACCCAGAGUGGAGCAGUGGUUACUACUGGAUUGACCCUAACCAAGGAUGCACUAUGGAUGCUAUCAAAGUAUACUGUGAUUUCUCUACUGGCGAAACCUGUAUCCGGGCCCAACCUGAAAACAUCCCAGCCAAGAACUGGUAUAGGAGCUCCAAGGACAAGAAACACGUCUGGCUAGGAGAAACUAUCAAUGCUGGCAGCCAGUUUGAAUAUAAUGUAGAAGGAGUGACUUCCAAGGAAAUGGCUACCCAACUUGCCUUCAUGCGCCUGCUGGCCAACUAUGCCUCUCAGAACAUCACCUACCACUGCAAGAACAGCAUUGCAUACAUGGAUGAGGAGACUGGCAACCUGAAAAAGGCUGUCAUUCUACAGGGCUCUAAUGAUGUUGAACUUGUUGCUGAGGGCAACAGCAGGUUCACUUACACUGUUCUUGUAGAUGGCUGCUCUGUAAGUAAUAGUGAAAUAUGGGAAUAGCUUUGGGAAGUGGGAUGGGGGGGGUUCUAACUUAGACUGCCCCCAAGGGGGGGGGUCUAAAGGGGGGUUAAAAGAACAGAAGAAUGAGAGAACUAACUUAUUUCAUAAGUAAAUUCAGUUUUUGUAUGUAUUUUAUAUUUAUUUAUUUAUACGUAUUAAUUUCGUAUUUAAAUUCAGAUGAUAAAUUCAGAGUAUUCUUAUCAGAUAGUGCCUUCUGAAAUGCUGAAAUGUAUACUAUGUCCAUGCAUUGUUUUUUCUUUACCAUGUUUUUUAAAUGGUAAUGUGUGCCCAGAACUUAAAAUUUCUUGAGACUUCAGUGGCCUAAACUAUAAUUUAUAGUUAUGUGUAUUUUAUUUUACUUAUUAGUAUGGCCUACAUUUAACUUUUAAUGCUUUUUCUACAAUAUGCUAUAAAUAUAAGAAAAAUUAAAAUUCACUAACAGCAAGACUACAUACCCACCCAGGUCCCGCUCCCAAAGACACACAUAGAGGGACAUACACACAACAAUCCUAAAAAUGACUUUGUAGAGAUAGGUCACUUGGAAUGUGUGUUGAAAUGUUGUUGGUUUUUUUGGUUUGUUUGUUUGUUUGUUUUUUGUUAGACUGAUAGGGAGCCCCUCCCACUAAAGACACCCUUGAUACUGUUAUUUCAAAGAUGAACUUAUUUAUCUGGGACAGACAUCUUCAGAAGGACACAUGCCAAACAGUGGUUCUUAUUAAAUCAAAGGUUCAGAUAUUAUCAGAUUCAGAAAUAGUGAUGCUUUGUGUAUCUAUUUUCUUCUCUUUAAACAGAAAAAGACAAAUGAAUGGGGAAAGACAAUCAUUGAAUACAAAACAAAUAAGCCAUCUCGCCUGCCCUUCCUUGAUAUUGCACCUUUGGACAUCGGUGGUGCUGACCAGGAAUUCUUUGUGGACAUUGGCCCAGUCUGUUUCAAAUAAAUGAACUCAAUCUAAAUUAAAAAAGAAAGAAAUUUGAAAAAACUUUCUCUUUGCCAUUUCUUCUUCUUCUUUUUUAACUGAAAGCUGAAUCCUUCCAUUUCUUCUGCACAUCUACUUGCUUAAAUCGUGGGCAAAAGAGAAAAAGAAGGAUUGAUCAGAGCAUUGUGCAAUACAAUUUCAUUAACUCCUUCCCCCGCUCCCCCAAAAAUUUGAAUUUUUUUUCAACACUCUUACACCUGUUAUGGAAAAUGUCAACCUUUGUAAGAAAACCAAAAUAAAAAUUGAAAAAUAAAA
RNAcentral lists this small RNA (5975 nucleotides) under Pan troglodytes (chimpanzee). RNAcentral's name for it is "retained intron". Lineage: Eukaryota; Metazoa; Chordata; Mammalia; Primates; Hominidae. The record is from RNAcentral.